Molecule: non-coding RNA, 119 nt
Organism: Aedes aegypti (yellow fever mosquito)
Lineage: Eukaryota; Metazoa; Arthropoda; Insecta; Diptera; Culicidae
Source: Rfam
UGUCCAGUAACUCCUAUCCCUACCUCCCCGUGGUGCCGCCUGGGGUACGAGUAGGUAACCGUAGGGAAGAUCGGGUAACCAAACCUGGUGGGACCUUGGUCGUAUGCUGACAGGGAAGG